This is a long non-coding RNA of Coregonus clupeaformis (lake whitefish), 964 nucleotides long. RefSeq lists it as uncharacterized. The record is from RefSeq and is a predicted model, not a curated record. Lineage: Eukaryota; Metazoa; Chordata; Actinopteri; Salmoniformes; Salmonidae. The transcript has 4 exons.
GAGGCUGCUGCCAGUGGUCAAAGCCUCCACAACUGCUCUGCUUAAUGGGUGUAACCUCACGGUGAAAUGCUGUGAAGCCUUGGCCUCAGCUUUCAACUCAACCUCCUCAAACCUAAGAGAGCUGGACCUGAGUGACAACAACCUGCAGGAUUCAGGAGUGGAGCUGCUCUGUGCUGGACUGGAGAAUCCACACUGCAAACUGCAGACACUGAGGUUGUCACGCUGUCUGGUCACAAAGAAAGGCUGUGCUUCUCUGGCCUCAGCUCUGAGGUCAAACCCCUCCAACCCGAGAGAGCUGGACCUGAGCUACAAUAUCCCAGGAGAGUCCGGAGCGAAGCAGCUCUCUGUUGGACUGGAGGAUCCACACUAGAGAUUGGAGAAACUCAAUGUGGACCACUGUGGAGAGUACUGGCAGCUGAAAAAAUGUAAUGUUGACUGCUGUGAAGAAAUGUGAAAUGUGUUAUUAGGGAUGAAACAGGAAAUAGCAUAACCUCACUAAGAGUCAUUGUCAAGUUACUCAACUGGUCAAAUUAAAUAUAAGCUACCAUUUUAAGGAAGUAGAAUCAGACACUAUUCCCACUGGGCACUGGGCACAGACAUCAGUUCAACGUCUUGUUUGAUUUACAUUUGGUUGAGCUACUAACCUGAAUUCAAACUGAAUUCAACAAAAAAUGUCACCCUGUCAUUGGAUUUAGGUUAAAAGUUAGGUGAAAAAAUACAAACUUCCCUUACGUCGAUGACUUUUUGCAAAUCCAAACUGUUUUCCACAUUGAUUCAAUGUCAUCACAGACAUUUGUUUUUUUUAUGACAUGGAAACAAUGUUGAUUCAACCAGUUUUUGCCCAGUGGAAUGUACUGUAUAAGCUUGAAUACAAAGGUCAUAUAAAGUUUAGAAUUUAGAUUAAAAGACGAUAAAUGAAACACAAAAAAACAUAUUAUUUGCAAGUAUUCUCUUUUAUUUUUAU